Molecule: ribosomal RNA, 498 nt
Filed under: uncultured bacterium
Lineage: Bacteria
Description: partial 16S ribosomal RNA
Rfam family: Bacterial small subunit ribosomal RNA
Source: RNAcentral
GACGAACGCUGGCGGCGUGCCUAAUACAUGCAAGUCGAACGAGAGCAACCGGUGCUUGCACUGUUCAAUCUAGUGGCGAACGGGUGAGUAACACGUGGGUAACCUGCCCAUCAGAGGGGGAUAACAUCCGGAAACGGAUGCUAAAACCGCAUAGGUCUUCGAACCGCAUGGUUUGAAGAGGAAAAGAGGCGCAAGCUUCUGCUGAUGGAUGGACCCGCGUUGCAUUAGCUAGUUGGUGAGGUAACGGCUCACCAAGGCCGUGAUGCAUAGCCGAACUGAGAGGGUGAUAGGCCACAUUGGGACUGAGACACGGCCCAAACUACUACGGGAGGCAGCAGUAGGGAAUUUUCCGCAAUGGACGCAAGUCUGACGGAGCAACGCCGCGUGAGUGAAGAAGGUUUUCGGAUCGUAAAACUCUGUUGUUAGAGAAGAACAAGUGCUAGAGUAACUGUUAGCGCAUUGACGGUAUCUAACCAGAAAGCAACGGCUAACUACGUG